Molecule: ribosomal RNA, 1178 nt
Filed under: Gelidibacter sp.
Lineage: Bacteria; Pseudomonadati; Bacteroidota; Flavobacteriia; Flavobacteriales; Flavobacteriaceae
Description: bacterial SSU rRNA
Rfam family: Bacterial small subunit ribosomal RNA
Source: RNAcentral
UGCAGUCGAACGGUAACAGCACUUCGGUGGCUGACGAGUGGCGCACGGGUGAGUAACGCGUAUGCAACCUACCUUUCACAGUGGGAUAGCCCAGAGAAAUUUGGAUUAAUACCGCAUAGUAUGCCUGAGGGACAUCCCUUGGGUAUUAAACAUUUAUGGGUGAGAGAUGGGCAUGCGUUCUAUUAGUUAGUUGGAGUGGUAACGGCACCCCAAGACAGCGAUAGAUAGGGGCCCUGAGAGGGGGAUCCCCCACACUGGUACUGAGACACGGACCAGACUCCUACGGGAGGCAGCAGUGAGGAAUAUUGGACAAUGGGCGCAAGCCUGAUCCAGCCAUGCCGCGUGCAGGAAGACGGCCCUAUGGGUUGUAAACUGCUUUUAUACAGGAAGAAACACUCCCUCGUGAGGGAGCUUGACGGUACUGUAAGAAUAAGGAUCGGCUAACUCCGUGCCAGCAGCCGCGGUAAUACGGAGGAUCCAAGCGUUAUCCGGAAUCAUUGGGUUUAAAGGGUCCGUAGGUGGACGAUUAAGUCAGAGGUGAAAUCCUGCAGCUCAACUGUAGAAUUGCCUUUGAAACUGGUUGUCUUGAAUCAUUGUGAAGUGGUUAGAAUAUGUGGUGUAGCGGUGAAAUGCAUAGAUAUCACAUAGAAUACCGAUUGCGAAGGCAGAUCACUAACAAUGUAUUGACACUGAUGGACGAAAGCGUGGGGAGCGAACAGGAUUAGAUACCCUGGUAGUCCACGCCGUAAACGAUGGAUACUAGCUGUCCGGACUUCGGUCUGGGUGGCUAAGCGAAAGUGAUAAGUAUCCCACCUGGGGAGUACGUUCGCAAGAAUGAAACUCAAAGGAAUUGACGGGGGCCCGCACAAGCGGUGGAGCAUGUGGUUUAAUUCGAUGAUACGCGAGGAACCUUACCAGGGCUUAAAUGUAGAUUGACAGGUUUAGAGAUAGACUUUCCUUCGGGCAAUUUACAAGGUGCUGCAUGGUUGUCGUCAGCUCGUGCCGUGAGGUGUCAGGUUAAGUCCUAUAACGAGCGCAACCCCUGUUGUUAGUUGCCAGCGAGUCAUGUCGGGAACUCUAGCAAGACUGCCAGUGCAACUUGUGAGGAAGGUGGGGAUGACGUCAAAUCAUCACGGCCCUUACGUCCUGGGCUACACACGUGCUACAAUGGUAGGGAC